GUGUGAAACUGCGAAUGGCUCAUUAUAUCAGUUAUAGUUUAUUUGGAUGAAUUUUUCUAUGGAUAACCGUAGUAAUUCUAGGGCUAAUACAUGUUAUAAUCUCUUUGAGAUUUUCUUAUUAGAAUAAAACCAAUUGUAUUAGUGAGUAAUAAUAAUAGAAUCGAUCGCAUGCUUUUGUAGCGAUAAUCCUUUCAAGUUUCUGCCCUAUCA
This 210-nucleotide ribosomal RNA is filed under the name uncultured Blastocystis sp. RNAcentral's name for it is "partial small subunit ribosomal RNA". It matches the Rfam family "Eukaryotic small subunit ribosomal RNA", at positions 79 to 317 of the family's 1831-position model. The record is from RNAcentral. Lineage: Eukaryota; Bigyra; Opalinata; Blastocystidae.